CCGCAUUCGCAACGUCCUCCACUUCUAGCUUGGUUCCUGCAAGCUCUGAGUUGCAAACAUAUGCCUCUUGAAUCUGUUCCGAGGUAAGUGUCGGUUGUAAUUUUUGGAGCAGUUCUGCCAGAAGCGGAGUAAUGAUCCCCACUGGUGAUAUGCAGUUCGCCCGGAUUCCGUGGCGUCCAAGUUCGCUGGCUGCGGUCUUGGUGAUACCAAUAAUCGCGUGCUUGCUGAUGGUAUAGCUGUGGUAAGUUCUCUGUGCUACCACUGCUGAUAUGCUACACAUGUUUAGAAUGCAGCGCAUGGAGUCCGUGCUGGAGAUCAUGGCUUUCGCAGCGUGCUUGACACCGAAAAGUGUUCCUUUGACGUUGACACUGCAAACGUGAUCGAAACUCGAGGCAUCGAUAUCAGUGAUCCGGAGGAACGCUUGCUCAGGUUUGCCUGCGUCUACUACUCCAGCAUUGUUAAACAUUAUAUCCAAUGUUUUCCCGUAGGUGGAAGUGGCAAACUCGACGCAAGCCGAUACUUGGUCCUCGCAGCUAACAUCACAGUGGAAGUAUCGGCUGUUUGGACCA
RNAcentral lists this long non-coding RNA (569 nucleotides) under Selaginella moellendorffii. Its description in RNAcentral is "long non-coding RNA (SMOE_LNC001234)". The record is from RNAcentral. Lineage: Eukaryota; Viridiplantae; Streptophyta; Lycopodiopsida; Selaginellales; Selaginellaceae.